This 380-nucleotide unclassified non-coding RNA is filed under the name uncultured Alphaproteobacteria bacterium. RNAcentral's name for it is "contains 16S-23S intergenic spacer region". The record is from RNAcentral. Lineage: Bacteria; Pseudomonadati; Pseudomonadota; Alphaproteobacteria.
UCGCGGCUUAUCACCGGCAGUCCCCUUAGAGUGCCCAACUGAAUGAUGGCAACUAAGGGCGAGGGUUGCGCUCGUUGCGGGACUUAACCCAACAUCUCACGACACGAACUGACGACAGCCAUGCAGCACCUGUGUGUAGGUCCCGUAAGGGAAGGAAUCCAUCUCUGGAAACCGUCCUACCAUGUCAAACGCUGGUAAGGUUCUGCGCGUUGCUUCGAAUUAAACCGCAUGCUCCACCGCUUGUGCAGGCCCCCGUCAAUUUCUUUGAGUUUUAACCUUGCGACCGUACUCCCCAGGCGGGAUGCUUAACGCGUUAGCUGCGGCACAGCGGGAUUGGGUACCCGCUACACCAAGCAUCCAUAGUUUAGGGCUAGGACUAC